This 503-nucleotide ribosomal RNA is filed under the name uncultured bacterium. RNAcentral describes it as "partial 16S ribosomal RNA". It matches the Rfam family "Bacterial small subunit ribosomal RNA", at positions 30 to 523 of the family's 1533-position model. The record is from RNAcentral.
AUUGAACGCUGGCGGCAGGCUUAACACAUGCAAGUCGAGCGGGGUGAUGGUGCUUGCACUAUCACUUAGCGGCGGACGGGUGAGUAAUGCUUAGGAAUCUGCCUAUUAGUGGGGGACAACAUCUCGAAAGGGAUGCUAAUACCGCAUACGUCCUACGGGAGAAAGCAGGGGAUCACUUGUGACCUUGUGCUAAUAGAUGAGCCUAAGUCGGAUUAGCUAGUUGGUGGGGUAAAGGCCUACCAAGGCGACGAUCUGUAGCGGGUCGGAGAGGAGAAUCCGGCACACUGGGACUGAGACCCGGCCCAGGCUGCUACGGGAGGCAGCAGUGGGGAAUAUUGGACAAUGGGGGGAACCCUGAUCUAGCCAUGCCGCGUGUGUUAAGAAGGCCUUAUGGUUGUAAAGCACUUUAAGCGAGGAGGAGGCUCUUUUGGUGAAUACCCAAGAUGAGUGGACGUUACUCGCAGAAUAAGCACCGGCUAACUCUGUGCCAGCAGCCGCAGUAA